Solanum verrucosum is the source of this 180-nucleotide long non-coding RNA. RefSeq lists it as uncharacterized. The transcript has 2 exons. NCBI's taxonomy places the organism in Eukaryota, Viridiplantae, Streptophyta, Magnoliopsida, Solanales, Solanaceae. The record is from RefSeq and is a predicted model, not a curated record.
UUUGAAGAUUACAAAAUCAAGAGAAAAGGGAAAAAGAGAGGAACUUUUUUUUCCAAGAAAGAAAAUGGCAACAGUAGUUGAUGCUUGUGUUUGUGAGAUUACAAAGAUAAGUGAAAAGGUUAGAGCCAAAAGCCUUUUCUUGUUGAAGAAGAAAAAAACAGGGGAAAAAGUGGAAGAAAG